This 253-nucleotide ribosomal RNA is filed under the name uncultured bacterium. Its description in RNAcentral is "partial 16S ribosomal RNA". It matches the Rfam family "Bacterial small subunit ribosomal RNA", at positions 524 to 776 of the family's 1533-position model. The record is from RNAcentral.
UACGAAGGGGGCUAGCGUUGCUCGGAAUCACUGGGCGUAAAGGGUGCGUAGGCGGGUCUUUAAGUCAGGGGUGAAAUCCUGGAGCUCAACUCCAGAACUGCCUUUGAUACUGAAGAUCUUGAGUUCGGGAGAGGUGAGUGGAACUGCGAGUGUAGAGGUGAAAUUCGUAGAUAUCUGGAGGAACACCGGUGGCGAAGGCGGCAUCCUGGACCGACACUGACGCUGAGGAGCGAAAGCCAGGGGAGCAAACGGG